Molecule: long non-coding RNA, 127 nt
Organism: Micropterus dolomieu (smallmouth bass)
Lineage: Eukaryota; Metazoa; Chordata; Actinopteri; Centrarchiformes; Centrarchidae
Exons: 2
Source: RefSeq, a predicted model, not a curated record
GGGCCCUCCGUCUCUGUGAUUCAGAUACACCUCUAUGGUUGUGCGUGAUAAAAAAACCAUAACCGUCAAGCCUCAUCAUCUCCUGUUGCUCAUGUGUGAAUAGUGGCAAUAAAUGGCUUAAACGGAA